This is a non-coding RNA of Cherax quadricarinatus, 105 nucleotides long. The record is from RefSeq and is a predicted model, not a curated record. NCBI's taxonomy places the organism in Eukaryota, Metazoa, Arthropoda, Malacostraca, Decapoda, Parastacidae.
GUACUUGCUUUGGCAUACAUAUACUAAAAUUGGAACGAUAAAAGAAAAUUUUGCAUGGGCCCCCGCGCAAGGAACCCGCAAAAUCGUGAACGUUUCCCCAUUUUU